UCGUACAGUCCGAGGUAUGAUGUACUAUCGGAAAGCAUUGGAACUCCAAUCUUUUCUUGAUAUGGCCAAAGAUGAAGAUCUUAUGGAAGGCUAUAGGGCAGUUGAGUUAACAGCAGAAGAGAAAGUCGGAAGAUCUUUACGGGCACAGUGCCAAGCUGUAGCUGAUAUGAAGUUCACGUAUGUUGUAUCUUGCCAGCAAUAUAGUAUUCAGAAACGGUCUGGCAAUCAUCGUGCACAGGAUAUAUUAAAGCUUAUGACCACGUAUCCAUCCCUUCGUGUUGCUUAUAUAGAUGAAGUUGACACUCGUGGGGAAAGAAAGAGUGAGAAGGUUUACUACUCUUGCUUGGUGAAGGCUGCUUUAGCUAAGGAUGAAAAUGUUGCUGAUCGUGCUGAUGGAGUACCUAAUCUUGAUGAGGUUAUCUACAAAAUCAAACUUCCUGGUCCUGCCAUUUUGGGUGAAGGCAAGCCAGAAAACCAAAAUCAUGCCAUUAUAUUUACUCG
RNAcentral lists this unclassified non-coding RNA (501 nucleotides) under Hevea brasiliensis (rubber tree). Lineage: Eukaryota; Viridiplantae; Streptophyta; Magnoliopsida; Malpighiales; Euphorbiaceae. The record is from RNAcentral.